UGCGCAGGCGGCCUGGUAAGUCAGGGGUGAAAUAUGACGGCUCAACCGUCAAACUGCCCCUGAAACUGUCAGGCUUGAGUCCGGGAGAGGAAGGUGGAAUUCCUGGUGUAGCGGUGAAAUGCGUAAAUAUCAGGAGGAACACCGGUGGCGAAGGCGGCCUUCUGGCCCGGUACUGACGCUCAUGCACGAAAGCCAGGGGAGCGAACG
This 207-nucleotide ribosomal RNA is filed under the name uncultured bacterium. RNAcentral's name for it is "partial 16S ribosomal RNA". It matches the Rfam family "Bacterial small subunit ribosomal RNA", at positions 568 to 774 of the family's 1533-position model. The record is from RNAcentral.